GUUGGGAAGGGGCUGCCGGCGGUGGCGAACCCCCCAGCCUGCCUCCCCACCUGACCAUUUCCUCUCCGAUGCAGAGUUGGGGCCAGCGUCGGAUAAGCCUGGGGACACUGCCUGGGGACACCCCUGGGACUGGGGCCAGCGGGACAGGUCAGCUGAUGGGCUAUCUGUGGAUGGCCCUGCCUUUGGCCAGCUGAACAGCUGUGGAGGCCCACUGCAGGAUGCCAUCGCUGUGGUUCACAUUACUCUGCUGAAAACCAGGGGACAGAGUGCAGAUGCUCUCCAUCAGGUAGGAUGGCCCGCCCGGGCAGGUGGGCUUCAGAGCGGCCC
RNAcentral lists this long non-coding RNA (327 nucleotides) under Ornithorhynchus anatinus (platypus). Its description in RNAcentral is "lncRNA (ENSOANG00000048828.1)". The record is from RNAcentral. Lineage: Eukaryota; Metazoa; Chordata; Mammalia; Monotremata; Ornithorhynchidae.